Molecule: ribosomal RNA, 218 nt
Filed under: uncultured Lactobacillus sp.
Lineage: Bacteria; Bacillati; Bacillota; Bacilli; Lactobacillales; Lactobacillaceae
Description: partial 16S ribosomal RNA
Rfam family: Bacterial small subunit ribosomal RNA
Source: RNAcentral
UAACACCUGGAAACAGAUGCUAAUACCGGAUAACAACAGAUGAUGCCUAUCAACUGUUUAAAAGAUGGUUCUGCUAUCACUCUUGGAUGGACCUGCGGUGCAUUAGCUAGUUGGUAGGGUAACGGCCUACCAAGGCGAUGAUGCAUAGCCGAGUUGAGAGACUGAUCGGCCACAUUGGGACUGAGACACGGCCCAAACUCCUACGGGAGGCAGCAGCC